UGGUCAGUAGUCAACGCUAUAAAUAAAAUAUUCUCUGAUAGCUCAAACAUAUGCUCUAAUUUCCACUACAAAAGCAAAUUCCAGACAAACAAUUUGGUAUAGAUUUAGGAGGACAUGAGCUUUUACAAUCACUGUCUUUCUUGCAAGAAGCAUCCUGCUUUAUUCCAUGAUUAUCAUUUGUUUCAGUUUGAAACUUUUCUUGUCCCAACACCAUAAAUGAUGGUGAACCUACGAAACCAAAAGAAAUAUUGAGAUCAAUAAUUGCAUUCAUGAACAAAAUUUAGAAAUUAAUAAUGUAGAUUUUUUUUUUUCAUGUUGUUAAUUACUAUUACAAUAUUUAUCGAAAACAUUCAACCUAUUAACAUCAUUGCUAAUAACAUUCAAAUAAAACUACAUAUAUGUCUACUAGUGGCGUGCUUGAAAUUUGAACUUGGAACCUCAAAGUAAAUUAAUCCAUCCUAGAUCCACCCCUGAUGUCUAUCUAGUAGAUCUAGAGGGGCGGAAUGGGUUCAUUCGAACCAUGAAUGAAGAGAGAGGGUAGGGGAUGAGGAAAGAAACCUUACCUAACAAAACGAACAAGACAAUAAGAGAGAACAAAACGGUUGAUGCCUUCUCCAUUUUUCAACACUAUAUCUCAAUGAACAAUGAUGUUUUUUUUCCUUCC
This 664-nucleotide long non-coding RNA is filed under the name Capsicum annuum. RNAcentral describes it as "long non-coding RNA (CANN_LNC017800)". Lineage: Eukaryota; Viridiplantae; Streptophyta; Magnoliopsida; Solanales; Solanaceae. The record is from RNAcentral.